This 979-nucleotide long non-coding RNA is filed under the name Salmo trutta (river trout). Its description in RNAcentral is "lncRNA (ENSSTUG00000005670.1)". The record is from RNAcentral. Lineage: Eukaryota; Metazoa; Chordata; Actinopteri; Salmoniformes; Salmonidae.
GUAAGUGAAUUUAUUCAGCACCUACACGUUGGUUCAUACCACUUUAUUAUUCUUUCUUGUCUGUCGUAUGUAACCUCAACCUUCUUCUCCCUUCUAUCCUCCCCACUCUACCCUCCUCUACACCCCUCUUUCUCUUUUCUCUCUCUCUCUCUCUCUCUUCCUCUCCCUCUCUCUUCCUCUCCAUAUCUCUGUCAGUCCUGUGUUGAUCCGGUUUCAGCAGGUCGUCUCAUCUCUGGGCAUCUCCAUCUUCGGCAGCUUCCGGCAAUCUGUGUUGUUUGGCAUCCAUGUGUUCGGGGCUUUUCUGGCCUUCUUUGUGAGCCUACUUCUGGUUGCAGGUGUGGCUCACCUAUAAAGUCCAGACCUCUAAAGACCGUUGCUGAGUGGGGCCUCUCAGAGCUGCCCUCUGUAGCAUCUGCACCAUCUUGGUCAUCACCAUGAACAUAGGUCUACUCUUUGAAAUGGGCUACUGCUCAAUUGCGUCCAUUUCUGAGUGGGUUCUCGGGGAUGUGCUUCUUUGUUCCUAGUUGGCCUCUUUGCAUCUGAGUUCCGUCAUAUCGACUGUCACCAGCUCACCGUGCAGAACCAAGGCCUCAGCAAGAUACAGAGCAUGGGAUCAUAAUGGGACCCUAAUGUACAAUAGUACAGCAAACAGAACAGUAAUGUAAUAAUGAUAUAAUAAUUGAACAUUCAGCUCUGACUGAUGAAGCUCUACAUAAGUGUACAUAUUUUAAACCUAUUGUUGAAUAAACUGCUACUCUUUUUAUUUAAUAAAAUACUACUCAUUUUGAUGCGGCAUCGCCUCAGCUAAACCUCUGUUUGGUUUCUGUUGAGUUUACGGGAAAUAUAGAUGAGAUUUUUCUGAUCUUUGUUCAUCUUUUGACUACAGCAGUGGUGGUUGCUAUGUUUCCUCUCUCUGUAGGUUGUCUCAUGGUAUUGCUUUCACUGUUACAGGAAUCUGUAGGGUGAGAGAGACGCUCUC